UGAAUACGAGAUGCUACGGCGUCGAAGCAGUCUAUGUCAUACUUCCAAGAAAAGCUUGCACUGUCAUAAACAAAUAAUGCCUGUACCAUAACCGACACAGGUGGGUAGGUAGAGUAUACUAAGGGGCGCGAGAUAACUCUCUCUAAGGAACUCGGCAAAAUGACUCCGUAACUUCGGGAGAAGGAGUGCCUUAUUUAUAAGGUUGCAAUAACAAGAUCCAAGCAACUGUUUACCAAAAACACAGGUCUCCGCUAAGUCGUAAGACGAUGUAUGGGGGCCGACGCCUGCCCAGUGCCAGAAGGUUAAAGAAGUUGGUUAGCAUCCGCGAAGCUGAUAACUGAAGCCCUGGUGAACGGCGGCCGUAACAAUAACGGUCCUAAGGUAGCGAAAUUCCUUGUCGGGUAAGUUCCGGCCCGCACGAAAGGCGUAAUGAUUUGGAUACUGUCUCGGAGAGGGGCUCGGUGAAAUAGACUUGUCUGUGAAGAUGCGGACUACCUGCACCAGGACAGAAAGACCCUAUGAAGCUUUACUGUAACCUGAAAUUGAAAUUGGACUUUACUUGCGCAGUAUAGGUGGGAGGCGUUGAGAAUAUUCUUGCGGGAUUAUUGGAGCCAUCAGUGAGAUACCACUCUUGUAAUGUUAGAUUUCUAACUUUGUAUCAUUAUCUGGUCAAAGAACAGUUUCAGGCGGGCAGUUUGACUGGGGCGGUCGCCUCCUAAACGGUAACGGAGGCGCACAGAGGUUUCCUCUGAACGGGUAGAAAUCGUAUCUAGAGUGUAAAGGCAUAAGGAAGCUUGACUGUGAGACCUACAAGUCGAGCAGGGACGAAAGUCGGUCUUAGUGAUCUGACGGUGCUGAGUGGAAAGGCCGUCACUCAACGGAUAAAAGUUACUCUAGGAUAACAGGCUGAUCUCCCCCAAGAGUUCACAUCGACGGGGAGGUUUGGCACCUCGAUGUCGGCUCAUCGCAUCCUGGGGCGGUAGUACGUCCCAAGGGUUGGGCUGUUCGCCCAUGAAAGCGGUACGCGAGCUGGGUUCAGAACGUCGUGAGACAGUUCGGUCCAUAUCCGGUGUAGGCGUUAGAAUAUUGAGAGGAGCCUUCUUUAGUACGAGAGGACCGAGAAGGACAUACCUCUGGUGUACCAGUUAUCGUGCCAACGGUAAACGCUGGGUAGCUAUGUGUGGAGUGGAUAACCGCUGAAAGCAUCUAAGUGGGAAGCCCACCUCAAGAUAAGUA
RNAcentral lists this ribosomal RNA (1236 nucleotides) under metagenome. RNAcentral describes it as "bacterial LSU rRNA". It matches the Rfam family "Bacterial large subunit ribosomal RNA", at positions 1564 to 2810 of the family's 2925-position model. The record is from RNAcentral.